RNAcentral lists this small RNA (126 nucleotides) under Marmota monax (woodchuck). The record is from RNAcentral. Lineage: Eukaryota; Metazoa; Chordata; Mammalia; Rodentia; Sciuridae.
GCCAGGUGUGGUGGCGCAUGCCUGUAACCCCAGCAGUUCAGGAGGCUGAGACAGGAGGAUCAUGAGUUCAAAGCCAGCCUCAGCAAAAAGUGAGGCCCUAAGCAACUCAGUGAGACCCUCUCUCUA